RNAcentral lists this microRNA (22 nucleotides) under Branchiostoma floridae (Florida lancelet). RNAcentral describes it as "Bfl-Mir-10-P1-v2_3p* (star (passenger))". The record is from RNAcentral. RNAcentral also lists the same sequence under 1 other name. Lineage: Eukaryota; Metazoa; Chordata; Leptocardii; Amphioxiformes; Branchiostomatidae.
CAAAUUCGUUUCUGCAGGUAUA